AUGCAAUUCUACUCCACAGCUCACUUCUACCCAGAUGGAAGGAUUGUCUGGAUGUCUGGAGGCACUAGGUACCAGUCCACGGUUGCUGAAUGGGCGAAAUUGAUCAAUGCUCUAGAAGGGAGUGAAGAUGACUUGGAUGUCUAUGCCAAGAAUAAGAAGGAUCACAACACCAUGGCACACAUGUACAAGGAGAUCCCAGAUGCUGCUCUUGAGACACACAAGUUUGAAUUUGUACAUUACCUUCUGUCAGGCUUGCCAACUAUCAACUGGAUCCUCAGGCACAUUCUCUUGCCAAAGUCAGGAGAUCACAAGAUGAUCAGAGGCCAUGCAAUAAACUUGCUUCACAUCUUUGAUGUCCCACAAAAGUUCAAAGUCAUGAGCCUAAUAGUGGAAACCAUAAAAAGGACAGCUACAGAUCAGAAGAGGAGUUGUGGGUAUGCCCCAUAG
Molecule: ribosomal RNA, 447 nt
Filed under: Triticum aestivum (bread wheat)
Lineage: Eukaryota; Viridiplantae; Streptophyta; Magnoliopsida; Poales; Poaceae
Description: partial small subunit ribosomal RNA
Source: RNAcentral